AACACAUGCAAGUCGAGCGGUAACAGAAAUUAGCUUGCUAAUUUGCUGACGAGCGGCGGACGGGUGAGUAAUGCCUGGGAAUAUGCCUUAGUGUGGGGGAUAACUAUUGGAAACGAUAGCUAACACCGCAUAAUGUCUUCGGACCAAAGAGGGGGACCUUCGGGCCUCUCGCGCUAAGAUUAGCCCAGGUGAGAUUAGCUAGUUGGUGAGGUAAGAGCUCACCAAGGCGACGAUCUCUAGCUGGUCUGAGAGGAUGAUCAGCCACACUGGAACUGAGACACGGUCCAGACUCCUACGGGAGGCAGCAGUGGGGAAUAUUGCACAAUGGGCGAAAGCCUGAUGCAGCCAUGCCGCGUGUAUGAAGAAGGCCUUCGGGUUGUAAAGUACUUUCAGUCGUGAGGAAGGGUAUGUAGUUAAUAGCUGCAUAUCUUGACGUUAGCGACAGAAGAAGCACCGGCUAACUCCGUGCCAGCAGCCGCGGUAAUACGGAGGGUGCGAGCGUUAAUCGGAAUUACUGGGCGUAAAGCGCAUGCAGUGGCUCAUUAAGUCAGAUGUGAAAGCCCGGGGCUCAACCUCGGAACCGCAUUUGAAACUGGUGAACUAGAGUGCUGUAGAGGGGGGUAGAAUUUCAGGUGUAGCGGUGAAAUGCGUAGAGAUCUGAAGGAAUACCAGUGGCGAAGCGGCCCCCUGGACAGACACUGACACUCAGAUGCGAAGCGUGGGGAGC
Molecule: ribosomal RNA, 727 nt
Filed under: uncultured Vibrio sp.
Lineage: Bacteria; Pseudomonadati; Pseudomonadota; Gammaproteobacteria; Vibrionales; Vibrionaceae
Description: bacterial SSU rRNA
Rfam family: Bacterial small subunit ribosomal RNA
Source: RNAcentral